UAAAAGAGAGUUGUUACAUUCAUCAUGCAUAUAUCAUUUCUUCUAUCUUUUCAUUUCUAUAACAUACAAUUAUCUCAUCUUAAAUUAGCUUUAUUAAUUUUAUGUCAUCCUGAUUAUUUUGAAAUGAAGAUGAAAAUGAUGACAACAAGUAUCAUGAGCUUGUUAGCUCUUAUCAUGCUGUUGAGCAAUGGAUUCAUGGUUUUAGGUAGCAGACAAAACUUGUUAGAACACAAGUUUAGCAAUAAAUUUUUCCUCGAAGAAGCAGGUCCAUCCCCUAGAGGAGAGGGACAUGAUGCACCUGGACAUAAAGGUCCACCACCUACAAAAAAUUUUCAAAAACAAACUCAUGAAUUUUCAAUUGAAGGAUCAGGUCCAUCCGACGGAGGACAGGGACAUAAACUUCCACCUGUCCAUCCACCACCUACAAAAAAUUUUCAAAAGCAAACUCAUGAAUUUUCAAUUGAAGGAUCAGGUCCAUCCGACGGAAGACAGGGACAUAAACUCCCACCUGUCCAUCCACCACCUACAAAAAAUUUCCAAAAACAAACUCAUGAAUUUUCAAUUGAAGGAUCGGGUCCAUCCGACGGAGGACAGGGACAUAAACUUCCACCUGUCCAUCCACCACCUACAAAAAAUUUCCAAAAGCAAACUUAUGAAUUUUCAAUUGAAGGAUCCGGUCCAUCCGACGGAGGACAGGGACAUAAACUCCCACCUGUCCAUCCACCACCUACAAAAAAUUUCCAAAAGCAAACUCAUGAAUUUUCAAUUGAAGGAUCCGGUCCAUCCGACGGAGGACAGGGACAUAAACUUCCACCUAUCCAUCCACCACCUACAAAAAAUUUUCAAAAGCAAACUCAUGAAUUUUCAAUUGAAGGAUCCGGUCCAUCCGACGGAGGACAGGGACAUAAACUUCCACCUGUCCAUCCACCACCUACAAAAAAUUUCCAAAAGCAAACUCAUGAAUUUUCAAUUGAAGGAUCAGGUCCAUCCGACGGAGGAGAGGGACAUAAACUUCCACCUGGCCAUGGAGGUCCACCACAUUCAUUUUAUUUUUAUUAGUGACAGUUCUACAAUAAUUAUUUUCUUUAAUCUAUAUUUAAUGCUUACGGUGUUAUUAUAUUAGUUUAGAUCAAAUAUAAUUCAAUUAAAAUUACUAUUUUAGCAUUGAUCAAAUUGAAAAUCAAACUUGCAAAUAAAAAUUUUCGUAGAUCGAAUAAAAUCGAAUUUGUUUUGGUCCGCCGAUCCUAAAUUUCACCAAAUCUAUUUUUAAUACCAUGCAUAAAUAUUAA
RNAcentral lists this long non-coding RNA (1289 nucleotides) under Arachis ipaensis. RNAcentral's name for it is "long non-coding RNA (AIPA_LNC001417)". The record is from RNAcentral. Lineage: Eukaryota; Viridiplantae; Streptophyta; Magnoliopsida; Fabales; Fabaceae.